AAAGCCAGUACGUGCAGUAGGAUCAAAACCCAGUACCAUUGUUCGUGACUUCUCAGCAGCCCUCAUUGUCCGCUAUGUUCAGCGAGUCCGGUUUUAUCCCAUGCUUUUUUUUAGACCCAGUCCAGCUGGCCUUGGUGAGUUCCCCAUAGACCAUCCCCAUUGUCUCAGUGUGUGGGUGAACCCCUCGCUGUCCUGAGUUCCUUGCUCGUGCUCUCUCUCCUUCUGCUCCUCAUUUGGGCCUUGGGAUUUCAGUCCGGUGCUCCAAUGUGGGUCUCUGUCUGUGUCUCCUUUCAUCGCCUGAUGAAGGUUAAUAUCCAGGAGGAUAACUAUAUGUUUUUCUUUGGGUUCACCUUCUUAUUUAGCUUCUCUAGGAUCACGAAUUAUAGGCUCAAUGUCCUUUAUUUAUAGCUAGAAACUCAUUAUGAGUGAGUACAUCCCAUGUUCCUCUUUUUGGGUCUGGCUUACCUCACUCAGGAUAGUGUUUUCUAUUUCCGUCCAAAUUGCUAGUUAAAUAUAAUGGAUUUAGUAUGAAUAUAGCUCAGUUUUUAAGGAAGAAUACUAGGUAAAUGUAUUUUUAAGUUGGGGCCAAAUUUAACACUCUUCUGAGCACAUUUCACCAACCCAUCUGCUCUUCUUUUUCCCCUUAAAAUUGGCGACCUGGAUACAUGCACCCCCAGAAAAAAGCAGUAAUGUUGAGGCUCCCGCGACAGUGCUAAGAGGAACAUGAAUGGAGAAGCUCAUGGAGACUCAGAGAGGACAGCUGUGAGGGCUUUAGUCAACAAGACGGCUUCUCACUGGGAGCCAAAUUCAAACAUCUGAGUCUUUCUCUUUCAUUUUAUGGGGCAGGCUGUGAACCAGAGAAGCUGAAUUUAACUUUGAUCUGUAAAUACAUUGUUUUCUCAAUCUGUAACUUCUAGUUGUCCAUUUACUGCUUUUAUUACCAUGUGUGGUGUAGACAGCAUUGUGAGAAGGUUACUCACAGAAGCUGAGAAUCUGAAAAUGGAGGUGAUUUAAUAAUAAACUUCCUAAUGCCGUGGCUUACAGUUACCCUUUGUUCCUAAAUAUUUGCCCAGUCUAAGCUUGACUGCUAACCAUUCUUCUUUAUUUCUCUUAAGCAAUGGCUUUGCUUUGUUUUCAGUAUUACUGAGAAUGAAGUCUCUCUCUCUCCCUUCUGUCUCCAGAUGGCUCUUUCAACCUAAGAAGCAAUUCUUUUUCUUUUUACAAUGUCUGCAAGUAUUUGAAUUAAAACUGAUAUCCAGAUGUUUGUGAAAGCUGCUGGAGAGGUCUCAGCAACUCCAUGUCACCAUGGCAGACCGGAUGUAUGCAGAAGUCUGUAAGGAGAGUGUAGAACUUGGAGCAGAUUGUCUUCUUAGGUACAAACAGACUAACACUCUAUGGACACAGCCACUGAAAUGAGCCGGGACUGCUCUGUGUCUCCAGAGCCCUGCCUGGCCUGCCCCUCUUCCUUUUCCACCGGGGAAGUCAUGUUAGCAGGGUUGCAGACAUAUAAACAGACUCUGGUAGAAUUUAUUGGAUGAACAGUCAGAUCCUGAGAUUUAGGAGUUGAAGCAGCGAGCAGUUUGAUGAUACAAGCUGUGGAUCCCUGGGGCCUCGGAAGCAGAUGGUUAUGGAUCUUUCGCCUGGACUGUUGAUGCCUUUAUUCCUCAUCUUUAGUGACCUGUCACCAGUUGCCAGUAAGACAGGGCUGUGUCCCACAGCAUGGACACAGAUACCACUUCUCUGAUUCAGGAGAACUUCACAGGGCAAAGGGAAUGUUGGGAGACUAAUGUAUUUUAAAGUUUUUUGUGGGUCUUUUUUUUGCGUAUUUUACUUGAAUUAUUUAUGUAGUAUAGAAAAACUAAUUUUAGAUAUGACAGAUGUUAUUAAUUUAGGUAACAGUUCACCAUAAAGGAGACACAUAACAUUUAUGUGCUGGGCUGGAGGCGGAGCUCAGUGGUGGUGUGCUUGACUAGCGUGCAUGAGGUCCUGGGUUCAAUUCCACGAAAACCUCCUCCCCCUUAAAAAGAAAGCCAAAAAUAGUUACAGGAUGAAAUUUCAAAACUUCACUAAAAGUCUUUAAAGGUUUUGUUGAGGCUUGAUUGACAUAUUCUGAAGUCCACAUAUUUGAAGUCAUGGUUUGGUAUAUUUUGGCACUUACGACACACAUCCUGACAACUGCCACCAUGAUGAAGACAAGGAGGUCUUCCACCCCUGGAUGUCUCCUUGUGCUUUUAUGUUCCUCCCCUCAGCCCCUGCUGUCCCUAAGCACCGAUUACUUAUGUCCCUUUGACUGACUCGCAUUUUCUAGAAUUUCCUAUAAAUGGGGUCAUGCAAUGCAUAUUCUGUGAUAUGGCUCUUCUUCUCAGCACAACUGCUUUGAGACUCAUCUGUGUUGCACUAUAUAACAGUGUUCUGUUUCUUUAUAUGAGCAACUCAUACCAAGUGGAUUAUACAGCUUGUUUAUUUAUUAGUUCUCAAAGAUUUUACU
Long non-coding RNA from Chionomys nivalis (European snow vole), 2488 nucleotides. RefSeq lists it as uncharacterized. Lineage: Eukaryota; Metazoa; Chordata; Mammalia; Rodentia; Cricetidae. The transcript is spliced from 4 exons. The record is from RefSeq and is a predicted model, not a curated record.